GGGCACGUGGUGUAAUGGUACAUAUCCGGGAGUCUCAUGAAACCGGUAACCGGAGUAGCUGGUUCGAUUCCGGCCGUGUCCA
Dichotomopilus funicola is the source of this 82-nucleotide non-coding RNA. Lineage: Eukaryota; Fungi; Ascomycota; Sordariomycetes; Sordariales; Chaetomiaceae. The record is from the annotation of a RefSeq genome assembly.